Molecule: ribosomal RNA, 465 nt
Filed under: Vreelandella stevensii
Lineage: Bacteria; Pseudomonadati; Pseudomonadota; Gammaproteobacteria; Oceanospirillales; Halomonadaceae
Description: partial 16S ribosomal RNA
Rfam family: Bacterial small subunit ribosomal RNA
Source: RNAcentral
CCUACGGGCGGCAGCAGUGGGGAAUAUUGGACAAUGGGGGGAACCCUGAUCCAGCCAUGCCGCGUGUGUGAAGAAGGCCCUCGGGUUGUAAAGCACUUUCAGUGAGGAAGAACGGCUGGUGGUUAAUACCCAUCAGGAAAGACAUCACCCACAGAAGAAGCACCGGCUAACUCCGUGCCAGCAGCCGCGGUAAUACGGAGGGUGCGAGCGUUAAUCGGAAUUACUGGGCGUAAAGCGCGCGUAGGUGGCUUGAUAAGCCGGUUGUGAAAGCCCCGGGCUUAACCUGGGAACGGCAUCCGGAACUGUCAAGCUAGAGUGCAGGAGAGGAAGGUAGAAUUCCCGGUGUAGCGGUGAAAUGCGUAGAGAUCGGGAGGAAUACCAGUGGCGAAGGCGGCCUUCUGGACUGACACUGACACUGAGGUGCGAAAGCGUGGGUAGCAAACAGGAUUAGAUACCCGUGUAGUC